UUUUCGCUUGUAAGUUAUUUUACAGUUCUUGUUUUCUACCUUUUUCUUGGUAAUGUUUACGAACACCGUCUUUGAAGCGCUCUCUAUUACCGUUGUUUUAUGUCCGCCUCUGCAAGCGGCUGCAAAGCGGAUGCCACAACGAAGAAAUAAAAUAAAAACAACAGCGGUGGGCGCAAUCCUAGCACGGUAUCAGUAGGAAGCGUUGCGAACCCGGUCAAAAAAAAAAAAAAAAAAAAAACUGCUACUGCAUUUUCCCUAUCCCAUUGUAUCGCACUUCGUCGAAGGCCCCCGUCGGGAUAAAAGUACUUUCUUUAUGCGCACUGCAUUGGCAUACGUUGAUUGCCUAACCGCCCUUCGCUCUUCGGCGUCCUUACCGACCUGUUACGAGUAUCGGCUACAUUUUGGGACAAUAUCUUAUCUUUUAGAGCAUCCACCACGGCUACAUUGCAGCUGGUCCUCUCGACAAUCGCUCGACAAUACGUACGUUAUGCGCAUGCGCGUCGAAAGAGAGAUGCGCCCUUUCCACAGCGGAAGGAGAAUUGUUUCAUAUCGCUGUACUCCGGGCGCGGGCGUGGCCACCUUCCCCGGUCCCUCUCGGCCCCAGAGAAGCCAGCUAGCACGGUUCAAGGACCAGAAGAGUGGCGAGGAAGGGACAUUUCCUGUUGCACCAUCCUGUACUCGGCGUGACCUCACCAUACACCUGUGCAUAAAGCGGUCGUAGGGAGCAGCUCCACCGUCUAGCACCUGGCACGCCCCCGGAACGAAGGACACUUUGGCAACAGGCUGUGCGCCAACGUGCCUGCUGAAAGCUCCUUACAGUCCGUCUACCACGUGAAAGUUCAUAUGCAAGUCAGCCAGUCCUUGAACGCUUGCAAGCUCUUGGUCUGGAUGUCGGGCCUGCCAUUGGCGCACACCAGCGCUCCGUCCGCCUUGACCAC
This is a long non-coding RNA of Dermacentor silvarum, 938 nucleotides long. RefSeq lists it as uncharacterized. Lineage: Eukaryota; Metazoa; Arthropoda; Arachnida; Ixodida; Ixodidae. The record is from RefSeq and is a predicted model, not a curated record. The transcript is spliced from 4 exons.